RNAcentral lists this unclassified non-coding RNA (1010 nucleotides) under Hevea brasiliensis (rubber tree). The record is from RNAcentral. Lineage: Eukaryota; Viridiplantae; Streptophyta; Magnoliopsida; Malpighiales; Euphorbiaceae.
AGAUCACACGAUUUUAAUGGAUAUUUCUCAUUUCUCACACUGUCUCCUUGCUGAUUGGGUAUAACAUGAACCUUUGUUGGUAAGUGUUCGUGCUUUCAUGUAUUUUAUGUUUCUCCUAUGAUCCCUACCCUCACACACACACAUCCGAAAAAAGAAAAGGAAUUUACAUAGCCAUAGUGGGUGCAGGUGCUGUGAAUGAAAGAUGAAUAUGCUAUCUUGAAAUAGGACUUAGUUGCUAUCUAUGCAGGAUUAUGGAAUUUUCUUUAAUUUUAUGAAUUGAAUGUUUAAAGUAUCCAAUUAUUGUCUCAAAUCUGAAUCCUGAAAAUCUGGUCCAAAGGGGGAUGAGAAUUACAUAUGUAAUUUUACGUUCCAAAUUAGUUAUGGUAACUGAAUUCUUUGAUGCAACUAAAGAUAGAUGAGAGAGAGUAUCAAAUCAGAAAUUCGAUGAUCUGGUUAAGGUAGUUUUAUGUGUUUGUAGUCAUAUCUGAUAAAUAGUUUUUACUGAUCUGGAGACUGCUUUGGUGUGGAAAGUUAAUUUUGCGAUGGCACAUAUCCAAAUAGUUCCCUUAUCAGAGUUAUAUGUUGAGAAGUUUUGUGAUGAAUUACUCAUUGUAGGUUUUCUAUGAAAUCUGAUGACUAUCAUCUGCAGAGAUUUGAGAAAUUUGAUGAAUAAAAAUAUCUUGUUAUAAAUGAGGUGAAUGCACAUUCAUGGGACUAUCUAUUAACUUAAUAGGUGGCACAAGAACUUUUGGAUCAAACUUUUGAUGCCUGUUGAUGAUGAAUAUUAUAUAUUUUGAGGACUUGUUUUUGGAUCAAUGCUGACUUGACAUGGUCAAAAUUUACCUAUUCGGAAUGCAUUCUCACAUAUAUAUUGUUUUAGUAAACUAAUUGGAAAGUGUUGAAGGAGAAAAUGCAUGGAGAAUAUUUGCAUAUCAAUUUCUUGUUAUUUUUGACUUUGUUAAGAAAACCCAAUAUCAUGUUUCUUGGUUUUAGAUGAGAUGAACUGUUUA